GACGAACGCUGGCGGCGUGCUUAACACAUGCAAGUCGAACGGAAAGGCCCUGCUUUUGUGGGGUGCUCGAGUGGCGAACGGGUGAGUAACACGUGAGUAACCUGCCCUUGACUUUGGGAUAACUUCAGGAAACUGGGGCUAAUACCGGAUAGGAGCUCCUGCUGCAUGGUGGGGGUUGGAAAGUUUCGGCGGUUGGGGAUGGACUCGCGGCUUAUCAGCUUGUUGGUGGGGUAGUGGCUUACCAAGGCUUUGACGGGUAGCCGGCCUGAGAGGGGGACCGGCCACAUUGGGACUGAGAUACGGCCCAGACUCCUACGGGAGGCAGCAGUGGGGAAUAUUGCACAAUGGGCGGGAGCCUGAUGCAGCAACGCCGCGUGCGGGAUGACGGCCUUCGGGUUGUAAACCGCUUUCGCCUGUGACGAAGCGUGAGUGACGGUAAUGGGUAAAGAAGCACCGGCUAACUACGUG
Molecule: ribosomal RNA, 468 nt
Filed under: uncultured bacterium
Lineage: Bacteria
Description: partial 16S ribosomal RNA
Rfam family: Bacterial small subunit ribosomal RNA
Source: RNAcentral